CAUGCAGAUAGUGGAUGCCUUGGCAACACAUGCCGAAGAAGGACGCACUAGACGGCGAAACUCGCCGGGGAGCUGUCAAGAAGCUUUGAUCCGGCGGUGUCCGAAUGGGGAAACCCGGCCCAGGUUAUUCUGGGUCAUCCGUGGCUUUUGUCACGGAAGGGUACGCGCAGAACUGAAAUAUCUAAGUACGCGCUGGAAAAGACAUCGAAAGAGAUUCCCUGAGUAAGCGACGAGCGAAAAGGGAACAGCCUAAACCCAUCGUAAGAUGGGGGUUGCAGGAGCCCAAUAUUGGAUUGUAUCUGUUGAAUAGAACGCUAUGGAAUGAGCGACCAAAGAACGUGACAGUCGUGUAUAUGAAAAACAGAUGCACCAUAGGGAUUUCCUAAGUACUUUCGGAGACGGCAAACUCCGGGAAGAAUCUGGGGCGACCACGCUCCAAGGCUAAAUACAUGUGUUGACCGAUAGCGAACGAGUACCGUGAGGGAAAGGUGAAAAGAAGGGUCGAAGACCCCGUGAAAUAGAAACUGAAACUAUCUGCUAACAAGCAGACAGAGUCCGCAAGGAUGAUGUCGUGCCUAUUGAAGAAUGAACCGGCGAGUUAUGGUCUGUUCCAAGUGUAAGCCGUUGAAACGGCGGACGCGCAGUGAAAGCGAGCCUGAAUAGGGCGCCAAGGAACACACUAUAGACCCGAAACCAGGUGAGCUACCCAUGAUCAGGUUGAACGUACGGUAAAACGUGCGGGAGGACCGAACCGUUCAGAGUUGCAAGUCUGUCGGAUGAAUUGUGGGUAGAGGUUAUAUGCCUAUCGAACCUGGAGAUAGCUGGUUCUCCCCGAAAUAUAUUUAGGUAUAGGCUCAUGAUUAGGCUGAUGGGGGUAGAGUACUGGAUGAAUUUUUUGGUCGCAAGAUCAAAAAUUUAACCAAACUCCGAAUACCGUCAGUUCGUGCAUGGGACUCAGUAUGGCGGAGCUAAGUUCGCCAGGCGAGAGGGAAACAUCCCAGACUUUCGUCUAAGGUCUCUAAAUAUUCCUCAGUGGGAAAGAUAGUCUUGGUCCCCAAACACCUAGGAGGUCGGCUCAGAAGCAGCCAUCCUUGAAAGAAAGCGUAACAGCUCACUAGCCGAGGAUCAGGGCGUCGAAAACGUAUCGAGGCUUAAGGAAUAUACCGAAGACAAAGAUUUAUAUAUUUUCGUAAGAAAUUAUGUGAGUGGUAGGGGAGCGUUCCGGGUGCUGUGAAGGCGGCGAGAAAUCGAUCUGCUGGAGCGACCGGAAGUGCGAAUGCCGGUAUGAGUAGCGUACAUGAAGUGAGAAUCUUCAUCUCCGAAUGUUCAAGGUUUCCGCACCCACGUUUGUCGUGUGCGGGUAAGGCGACCCUUAGGCGAGGCCGAAUGGCGUAGCUGAUGGAUAACCAGUUGAUAUUCUGGUCCUUGAUAACAAUCGUUAUGACUUGGGGAGGGACGGAUUUGGAUACUGCGUGCGCUCUGUCGAAGAUAGAGCCGCACAAGCAACGAGAUAAUGUCUGUUGGCAAACCCGCAGAUAUGUUUAAUCGAAUUGUGAUGUGGAGUCUGUUCCGCAAGGAACGGGCAAGACGCAGGACUUCAGGUUCCUAGAAAAGCUUCGCAAGCAGAGUGUUAUUAAAUCGUACCGAUAACCGACACAGGUGAACUGGCCGAGAAGGCUAAGGAGAACGAGAGACAAUGGUUUAAGGAAUUCGGCAAAACAGCUGGGCGUACCCUUGGUAUAUGCCCUUCUCUCCGCAAGGAGAGGCGCAGCGAAAGACUGGAGACUGACUGUUUAACAAAAACACAGGUCCGUGCAAACUCGAAAGAGGACGUAUACGGGCUGAAACCUGCCCAGUGCCGGAAGGUUAACUGCGAGAGUGGUACCCGCAAGGGUACUGCUUUCAAUUGAAGCCCCGGUGAACGNNGUAACUAUAACUGUUCUAUGGUAUCAAAACGUUGCCAUAGUAAAAUUGCGCUGUAUGCUGGAAAAUCUGUAACACAAAGAUGGUAUCUUUAGUGUUUUAGAAGGAUGGCUAGUUGAUAUUCGGUAAAUAUUUGGGUAUUAUAAAAGUGAUGCCCAAUAUUUCUUCAACUGACAAUGCCAUACCUGCAGAAAACCAGCAGGAAACGAGUAAAGUCGAUAAUUUUUAUAUUUCAGGAUUUUGCGCCGGAGAAAUGUCUUGUUCUGUUAUCAAACAGUCAAGACCAUAUGGGUCUGGAUUUUCAUAUAGUCCAGAUCUCACAGUUUCUAAUGAAGACCUUUAUCUUUUAGCAAAAGUGAAUGCACGUUUAUGUAAUAGUAGGGGAGUUAUUUCACCCAUUCAUGGAGGAUAUAACUUAAGUAUGCGUGGAAAGAAAAAAGUUGCUUUAGCGCUUUCUUUCUUUUCACAAUACCCAAUUAUUGCAGGAGAUAUUGCAAACGCUAAAAUUUCAUUGCUUCAACAAGCAAUGAAUAUUUU
RNAcentral lists this ribosomal RNA (2460 nucleotides) under Minisyncoccota bacterium. RNAcentral's name for it is "bacterial LSU rRNA". The stretch from base 2 to 2047 matches the Rfam family "Bacterial large subunit ribosomal RNA", at positions 15 to 2044 of the family's 2925-position model. Lineage: Bacteria; Bacillati; Minisyncoccota. The record is from RNAcentral.